GCAUUGGUGGUUCAGUGGUAGAAUUCUCGCCUGCCACGCGGGAGAUCCGGGUCCGAUUCCCGGCCAAUGCA
Molecule: transfer RNA, 71 nt
Filed under: Danionella translucida
Lineage: Eukaryota; Metazoa; Chordata; Actinopteri; Cypriniformes; Danionidae
Also listed under: 2 other names
Rfam family: tRNA
About the family: Transfer RNA (tRNA) molecules are approximately 80 nucleotides in length. Their secondary structure includes four short double-helical elements and three loops (D, anti-codon, and T loops). Further hydrogen bonds mediate the characteristic L-shaped molecular structure. tRNAs have two regions of fundamental functional importance: the anti-codon, which is responsible for specific mRNA codon recognition, and the 3' end, to which the tRNAs corresponding amino acid is attached (by aminoacyl-tRNA synthetases). tRNAs cope with the degeneracy of the genetic code in two manners: having more than one tRNA (with a specific anti-codon) for a particular amino acid; and 'wobble' base-pairing, i.e. permitting non-standard base-pairing at the 3rd anti-codon position.
Source: Rfam by way of RNAcentral